Molecule: small RNA, 555 nt
Filed under: Pongo abelii (Sumatran orangutan)
Lineage: Eukaryota; Metazoa; Chordata; Mammalia; Primates; Hominidae
Description: retained intron
Source: RNAcentral
CCUCUCCCUAGUUCAGUGGCUCGAGGUGCCAAAGCAAGGUGCUCAAGGUGUCACCUGGUCACAAGCCCUCCAACUGGACAACUGCGGGGCACCAGGGGAAACCUGCCUGAUAUCCCAGUGCCACUGGAAGAAAAGGACCUAGCCAGGAGGGCGAGGGGGACACGAGGAAAGACUAGUUGAGAGACAGACCCCCCCGGAAUUCUGAGCACCAAAAAUCUGGCCAUCCCUCUCCAACAUCAACUUGUCCAAGAAGGUUCAGGAAGGCAUCCAGAUCCCGAACAAUGGGAGUGCGCCCCUGCUCGUGGAUGUGCAGGUGUUUGUCUCCAACGUGUUUAAUGUGGUAAGUGCCGCUAGGCCAAGGGCCCCAAGUGCUGAGCUGGGCAGGGAACAGGACUCAGCCCUGGAUAGUGCUGGGGUCUCCUGCCUCGUUCUUUCAACACAGCGCUCACCCUGAGGUGACACAUUGCCCUUCCCCCAGGACAUCCUGCGAUACACAAUGUCCUCCAUGCUGCUGCUUAGGCUGGUGAGCUUCUAUCCCUGGGGAAGUGGGAUGGG